Non-coding RNA from Canis lupus familiaris (dog), 106 nucleotides. The record is from Rfam. NCBI's taxonomy places the organism in Eukaryota, Metazoa, Chordata, Mammalia, Carnivora, Canidae.
AGGAGCAACAGCCCUAGUGGCGGCGGCCAGCUCUGCAGCCCUGGAGUCAGCCCCCGCAGUAGCUCCGGAGCUCUCCGUCUGCAGGGCCUGGAGGCUCCGGGGCAGG